This 218-nucleotide long non-coding RNA is filed under the name Bemisia tabaci. RNAcentral describes it as "lncRNA ENSSSA2NGG010076". The record is from RNAcentral. Lineage: Eukaryota; Metazoa; Arthropoda; Insecta; Hemiptera; Aleyrodidae.
ACCAAAGACAGCAACGCAGUUGUAUGAAGGAGGCUUAAUUGGUCAUACGGAGUCAUACACCUAGCUCACUUGCCGGCGAUUCCUAUCGAUGUCUCUUUUCCAUUUACCUUACAGAUGAUUGUACUUGCCUCAAGGACAGCCCAGCCAUUUAUCGUAUGCGGAUUGUUUUAGAAUUGCUAAGUUUUAUCAACCUAUUUCAUGAGGACUGAAAAAUCCAA